AGUAAAAAAAUUAACUCAUUGUGUGUGGUGGACCACGUAGGACCAACUAGCUGUGAAUUUUUUAUUAUAUAAAUAUGCAAGUAAUUUUGUAGUUGAAAAAUCAUAAAUAUGUUUGUGUUUAUAUCUAAGGUUAAAAAUCAACACUAAGUUUUCCAUAAGUUUUCCUCAAGCACGUAUAGGUACAAGGAGUGGUUGUGGGUUCAACCCCCCCCCCCCCCCCCGAAAAUUAUUAGUUGUGUAGUUUUUUUUAUCAUCAUUCAUCGAUAAAUAUUGAUUAUUGUAAAUUUUUUUAUGAACCCUCAUCCCGUUUGUGUAUAGGCCUGGUUUUCCUUCAAAUAGCUAUAGAGAAGACUCGAAACAUAAUAAUAGGAAGAAUGUUAUGUGCGUUUAAAUUUUAAAUUUUAAUGAAGUAGGUAGGUAAACAUUUCAGUAGGUAGGUAGAUAGUAGAUACUAAUCUAUAUUGUCGUAGAGUUUCUUGGUUAUCUAUACGAUCUGAUAAAAUAGGUAUGAGUAUAGUGUUAUACAAGACUUGAAUAUGUUAGUCGUUGAUGAUUGAUGAUUUAUGAAAAAUUCUUAAUUCACUUUACACUCUAAAAUGACUUGUAUGUUUAUAUUUAUGAUCAAUUGUCGUGCGGUGAAUUUUAAUUGUGGUCAAUUAUAUUCCGUCAGUUAUUUAUUUACGAUAAAUUGACGGUACACCAGUAGUAGCACCAGGUACAGUCAUUUUUCUUUGGUUGAUGGUGUUUAUAGUUAAGGUUAAAAAAUUCAACACUAAGUUUUCAAUAAGUUUUCUUUCAAGUAGCUAUAGAGAAAACUCGAAGCAUCAUUAUAGAAAAAAUUUUAAGUGCGUUUGAAUUUUAAAUUUUUACGAAAUAGCGUAACGAUAACGAUUUAUCCUUAAACGGUUUUAAAUAUUUGUUAUUAUUUAGAAAGUAUAAAUCGUAGAUACUUGAAAAUUUCACCAGUUAUUUAGAAUGGCAUUUUCUUUACAUAAUUUAAUUUUCAAAAUAUUUUGACUUUGUUGAGCUAUUUAUAGACAACUGCAAUUUUAAAUUUUUCUGAACAUUUUUUUUUGAAGUGUCGAUAAAAUUUUUUGGAAAAUCAAAAUACUUGAAUAUUUAAUACAAAGUUAUACACAAGUCAUUCUUAUUGUGGUUAAAAAAUUAUAAGAAUACAUAGGCACAUUUUUUUUUAUUAACAUUUGAAGUUUAAAUAUUGACAAAAAUUAGUUAAAACCAUGAAUAUUUGUAAAAUAUUUUGUAAGUAUAAUUCAUAAAAAUGUUUGUAUAAGUAGCUAAAAGUUGAAAAUUCAAUACGUGAUUUUCCAAAAGCUUUGUUUAUAAUAAUUAUAAAAUAACUUAAAUUCUGGCGUAUUCAGGCCAUUAAAAUAUAAAUCACUUUUUUCACCAACCAUUCGAAAUAAUAUCCUAGGUUGAUAAAUCAUCUUCUUGCAGAAUCGUUUUUCGUAUACAAUGAUGCCUAUCACUGGAUUCAAAUUUAACACUACUAUAAUAUAUAAUAAUGAUUCAUACGGCACCUAAUGUACAGCAGAGCGGUACCCACUUAUCCGUUUUUUAAUUGUUUUUUUAGUUGUUAUCCUACGUAUUAUAUUGUGUCAUUUGGUAACUAUCUACCUGUCCCAGUGAGAUAUGGGUCGCGCUAAUUAUGUUUUAUCCAAUUGGUACAUAGACACAUGGUAGCUUAAAAUAUUAUAUAGUUUACACCGUGUGCUAUAUAAUUAUUUAUUCAACAUGCUUAAACAGAAUAUGCACACAAAAUCUCUACCUAAAAGCACUUUUAGUGAUCUUGAUUUCAAAUCCAUAAUUAAUGAAUAUUUCAUAGCUACCUUAAAUUAAGUUAAUUCCGCUGAUCUUAAGUUGAACUCGGUAUUUGUUUGCUCCUCAAAUAACUGAGCUGCGAGCUGAAAAUUGCAAUAUUCGAGAUGAAAUUGAUGUCCUGAAAAGAAAAUUAAUCAGCGUUGAGUACUCUCGUAAUACUAAACAUGCACUUUCACUUGUUACUCUAUUUUUCUUCGGGAGAUCUUCGUGUGGGAAAGUUGUUUAUUUUAUUGACACAGUGUAUUUCCUUUUACUCCGAUUUGUUUAAAUAUUGGUGUCUGUAAGGAUAUACCGUUUCAUAUUUCCAUUGACCUAUUUCUAUUUAAUCACAUACCUACCUCUAAAAUGUUGGAAUCACUAGUAUUGAAUACUCUACAACCAUCUAUCAAUAGUAUGUUAAUGGAGGAGCAUCAUGGUUUUCCACCCACUAACCUACUAUUGUAAUCACCCUUAAUUACUAAUUAGUACUGUUAUUGGCGAGUCUCUUUUAUAAUGCUUCCUGUUCUAGAUUAGGGACAGAUAUCAAUGAGUAAAACAUAGUGAUAUAAUUAUAAUUAAAAUUUAAAACACAAAUUACGAUGUUUUGAUUCAGAAUCGUAAAGUCGAAGUUAUCAAGUCUGUUGCACACCCGAAGCAUACACCUUUUAUAUUCAUUAAAAAUAUAUGAUUGACUGUGGAAUCACUUAUUAAAAACCGUUUUUAAUCCUCGUUCUUUGCAAGUGUAAGAUUAUGAUUAUUAAUAGAAUUUUUUUUCUAUAGUUUUUUCUUACCGCCUCAAUGCGUCACAUAUUAUGCAUGUUGUUUAUGAUUACCUCACGGACCUAUGAUUUAAAUUCAACCGUAGACUUAAUCUAAGUUUCAAAUGAAUUAUUUUUGUUGUAAUGGUUUAAAAACCCCUUAGUUCAGGUCUCCCGUUUAGUUUGUCGAUUAAUGCACUUUUUCGCACUUGUGCGUCCAAUACUUACUAGAGUAAGGGGCGAUUGUAUGGUAUUAUUAUACUGCAGAUGACUCAUUGUAGCUUGAAAUGGUACAGCGAUGAUUUUUUUCGAUUUAUCAGUCAUUUGUUGCAGAUUCCAUGUAAGCCCCAUGGUUAUACUCCUGUGUCUGACUUACUCAAUUUGACUACACUAGUUUAGCAUAGAUAUUUAGCAGGAAUAAACUUCAUGAAAGAUCUCUUGAAAAAUAAAAGUUUAUUUUUCAGCUCUUAUCCCAUUGUUUUGUUUUAGGGUUCCUCAGCAUACUUUUAGGAUUGCAGUUUUUUUUUAAAUUCUACAUUCUACUAGUUACUACUAACUACAUGCUUAAUAACCCUAUUAGGCAAAUGUCUGCAUAAGCGUAACUACGGGUCAAGACAGUCAGGCAGUGGCCUGACUUAAUACUGGCUACAUGUCAUAGUAUCAUAUUGACUUACUAAUUAAUAGAAUUUAAAAUAAAAAUUUAAAACUUAGAAUUUUUUUUUAUAAUUAUCAUUUAGCUUGUCCUAAUAAAUUUGUUAAGUUUCGCCGAUGCACAUAUUGCUUCAAUAUGGAUUCCUUCUUUUUUAUGUGGUUGUUCAUGUAAUGUAACGGAUUUGCAUGCGCAUGCACUUUUAUAAUAAACUUUUACACUUUUUUCUCUGUUCAAUACUAUUUCAAUAAAAUUAUAUCUUAUAAUCUUAAAAUAAUAUUUUAAUGUAUUGUACUUUUGAAAAUGAAGACUACGUUCGUUCAUUUGUUGAAUGAAUUGAUAAAUAAAUAAUAAAAUAUCUUUAAUAGUGUUAAAAAAAGUGGUUUACUAUCUAUUAUGUAUAAUUUGGAAUAUAAUAUUUAUAAAUCUGUAACUAUGGGUGUAGCUAGGAUUUCAAUGAUGGGGGGGGGGAUUAAGACUUGUUUUUUUUAAAGUUUUUUUAAAGGUAUAUUAUUAUUUUUAAAUUAUAUCAAUUACAAUUGUCUAGAGUCCUCUCAAAAUCAAAGUAUAAUACCAAUUUCUAAAGUGAUUUUAAUGUAAAAUUUGUACAUUUUGUAUAAAGAAAUAGAAUUAAAUUUGAGGCGUAGUGGGGGGGGGGGGGCAUUCCCCUCCAUCGAUACGCCCAUGUGUGUAACAUAACUGUCUUAAAAAAAUUAAAUUCCGUUUUAAAAUCUCUCUAGGAAGUUCUGGUAAUGAUGGUGGUAAUCAUGGAGUAUCAACCUCGAGUUAUGGUAGAGGUAAUGAUGCCGACAGCUCUGGAUUAGUGAUUAUUUCUGUAACGACCAAUAACGAAGGAAGCGAAGGUGCAUAUGGUGGUGCUGACUGUGGUGGUGGUGCUAGCUGUGGUGGUGGUUAACAAGAUAAUAUUGAUUUGAUCGACACCUUUUCAUACUAACUAAACAUUUAUCAAUUUCUUCGAGUUUUAAACUGAAUAUUAUUAUAAACAUUUUAAAUUAUAAACUUAUAUAAAGUUAGUUAAUUAUAAAGUGUUCGGAAUAGGUUUAUUGUAGAACGCAUUAAUAAAUAUCAUUUAAGUUAUUGUUUCACAU
Long non-coding RNA from Aphis gossypii (cotton aphid), 4334 nucleotides. RefSeq lists it as uncharacterized. Lineage: Eukaryota; Metazoa; Arthropoda; Insecta; Hemiptera; Aphididae. The record is from RefSeq and is a predicted model, not a curated record. The transcript has 2 exons.